Molecule: small nuclear RNA, 114 nt
Filed under: Suricata suricatta (meerkat)
Lineage: Eukaryota; Metazoa; Chordata; Mammalia; Carnivora; Herpestidae
Source: RNAcentral
CUUCAUCCAGAUGCUAAACAUAUGCUAAAAUUGGGCAGAUACAGAGAAAACUAACAUGGUAACAUGGCCCCUGACCAAGGAUGGCUGAUGAUUUGUGAAGCAUUUCAUAUUUUU